AGGACGUCAUCCGACCCGGAGACAGGAGACAGGAGACAGGAGACGGGCUGCAUCAUGACUGCAAUGGAGGAGCAGGCAGAGACUGGCUGACUGAAUAACACUGAGAGAGCUGACUCAGUGGUUUAUACAGCAAAGCUGUGAGAGUGACUGACCUCCUAAACACGUCUCCAUUAGGGUGCUGUGAUCAAACAGCCAUGCCGCCCCCAGC
This is a long non-coding RNA of Anoplopoma fimbria (sablefish), 208 nucleotides long. RefSeq lists it as uncharacterized. NCBI's taxonomy places the organism in Eukaryota, Metazoa, Chordata, Actinopteri, Perciformes, Anoplopomatidae. The record is from RefSeq and is a predicted model, not a curated record. The transcript is spliced from 3 exons.